This 210-nucleotide ribosomal RNA is filed under the name uncultured bacterium. Its description in RNAcentral is "partial 16S ribosomal RNA". It matches the Rfam family "Bacterial small subunit ribosomal RNA", at positions 1309 to 1500 of the family's 1533-position model. The record is from RNAcentral.
AACCCGACUACAUGAAGCUGGAAUCGCUAGUAAUCGCGAAUCAGAAUGUCGCGGUGAAUACGUUCCCGGGUCUUGUACACACCGCCCGUCACACCAUGGGAGUCGGAAAUGCCCGAAGUCAGUGACCCAACCACAACGUGAACUUCGUUCGCGUGGAGGGAGCUGCCGAAGGUGGAGCCGGUAACUGGGGUNAAGUCGUAACAAGGUACC